AUAUCAAUAAGCGGAGGAAAAGAAACCAACAGGGAUUGCCUCAGUAACGGCGAGUGAAGCGGCAACAGCUCAAAUUUGAAAUCUGGGUCUUUCAGGCUCCGAGUUGUAAUUUGUAGAAGAUGCUUCGGAUGUGGCUCCGGUCUAAGUCCCUUGGAACAGGGCGUCAUAGAGGGUGAGAAUCCCGUAUGUGACUGGCUGCCUCCGUCCAUGUGAAGCUCUUUCGACGAGUCGAGUUGUUUGGGAAUGCAGCUCAAAAUGGGUGGUAAAUUUCAUCUAAAGCUAAAUAUUGGCCAGAGACCGAUAGCGCACAAGUA
RNAcentral lists this ribosomal RNA (314 nucleotides) under uncultured Helotiales. RNAcentral's name for it is "partial large subunit ribosomal RNA". It matches the Rfam family "Eukaryotic large subunit ribosomal RNA", at positions 40 to 350 of the family's 3401-position model. Lineage: Eukaryota; Fungi; Ascomycota; Leotiomycetes; Helotiales. The record is from RNAcentral.